Molecule: ribosomal RNA, 437 nt
Filed under: uncultured bacterium
Lineage: Bacteria
Description: bacterial SSU rRNA
Rfam family: Bacterial small subunit ribosomal RNA
Source: RNAcentral
AACGAACGCUGGCGGCAGGCUUAACACAUGCAAGUCGAACGCUCGUAGCAAUACGGGAGUGGCGGACGGGUGAGUAACGCGUGGGAACGUGCCCUGAGGUACGGAAUAACUGCGGGAAACUGCAGCUAAUACCGUAUGAGCCCCUAACGGGGGAAAGAUUUAUCGCCUUGGGAGCGGCCCGCGUCGGAUUAGCUAGUUGGUGGGGUAACGGCCUACCAAGACUUCGAUCCGUAGCUGGUCUGAGAGGACGAUCAGCCACACUGGGACUGAGACACGGCCCAGACUCCUACGGGAGGCAGCAGUGGGGAAUCUUGCGCAAUGGGGGCAACCCUGACGCAGCCAUGCCGCGUGAAUGAUGAAGGCCUUAGGGUUGUAAAGUUCUUUUGCCCGUGACGAUGAUGACGGUAACGGGAGAAUAAGCUCCGGCUAACUUCGUG